RNAcentral lists this long non-coding RNA (223 nucleotides) under Pongo abelii (Sumatran orangutan). RNAcentral describes it as "lincRNA". Lineage: Eukaryota; Metazoa; Chordata; Mammalia; Primates; Hominidae. The record is from RNAcentral.
AGAUAUUUGGGAUGAGGCAGCAUGCUGGUCGCUCAGCAGCAUCCUUAUCACGUCAGCUGUGAGAGAAAUAAAACUGUGAGACUGUGAAGUGUAUAAAGGAGUCUACCGCUCUCCCGGGGCUCGGAGACCCACAGAUUGGAGAAACCCUCUUGCCAUGUGCUACCUUUUGCCAUGUUAUGAGGAAGCAAGAAGGCCCUAACCAGAUACAGCCCCUCGAACUGGG